Molecule: long non-coding RNA, 598 nt
Organism: Lynx canadensis (Canada lynx)
Lineage: Eukaryota; Metazoa; Chordata; Mammalia; Carnivora; Felidae
Exons: 5
Source: RefSeq, a predicted model, not a curated record
GAUAUUGUAGCAGGCCUAUUCAUUUAUAAUUUCCAGGGUCCACCCCUCCUCUCCUUCCCUCAGUUCCCUUUUGUUCAGUAUUCAGCACUUUCCAGUUCUUUUUUCCAUUUCACUGCAGAAAAAGAAAAAAAAGAAAAGAAAAGAAAAACAGAGUGGCUGAACAAUGCCCCCUGCUUAAGUCCCCCAGAAGCAUAUUUUCUUUAGAGCAACAGAGGCUUUUGCAAUAUGGAAAAAGUGACAUUUGAUCUGAAGGAGUGUGGAGGGGAGCUCUGAGUGUGGGGGACUGACCUUUACUAACCACCUACCCAGAGCGGAGGCUGGAGAAGCGCGAGCUGAGCCUGCAGCAGUGAUGUCUGGUGCCCUCCACAGGCCAAAUUUUAUUGCCUUGACCUUUCUUCAAAUGAGAUGAUCUUCUGGGCCUCCUUACCCUGGACCCCUACUCCAGGCAGCACUGGAUUUGAAACCUGUUACCCGGGAAGAAGCUCCAUGGAGUCAGAGCUGCAGAAAUCUGGCCACAGAAUCCUACCCUAAGAGCACCGAGAGAAAGAGAAAUGCCCUCAGUGAAAUACUGUCACCUGGAACUGGACUGAGAACCAAU